Molecule: long non-coding RNA, 708 nt
Filed under: Mus spicilegus (steppe mouse)
Lineage: Eukaryota; Metazoa; Chordata; Mammalia; Rodentia; Muridae
Description: lncRNA (ENSMSIG00000006312.1)
Source: RNAcentral
GUUUCUUUGCCUUGACAGCUUGCAUUCGGUGUCAUUCUUUUCUAACAAAAACCAAAGCUUAACCAUGGGUUUUGGUUAUAACUGAUUAGUCCUUUGGAUUCUAGAGUUUACUGUAUGCUUGGGAACUCUUAAGCCGGGAAGCAAAGAAUGACACGAUUUUCCUCAAUAUACCAGCUUGCUUCGGCUGAUUUUAUGGAAUGAUGACCAAACACAGCAUGGAAAGAAAUGGUUUAUGUCAGUUUAUUGUGCAUCAUGAGAAGAAACCAAGAGUGCUCAUGCAAGUAAAAGACCACACAUUGCAGCCUGGGAUAAAUACCCCUGAUCCCCGUAAAGGGCAAGAACUGUCCAAGAAUGUUCCCUCUGAACCAUCCAGAAACUAUGAGAAAUGCUAUCUAGGUCAUGCUAAUCAAGUCCUGAACUCUGAGAGUGGAGCCUGGUCUCUUGAAUCGACAAAAAAAUGCUCUCAGUGUUCCAAUACAUGAGCUGCAGAGAUGAAGCAACAGUUAAGGGCACUGGCUACAAUUCCAGAGGACCCAGUUUCCUACCUGGCAGUUCAAAACGGUUUGUAUCUUAAGUCCCAUGGGAUCUUCCACCCUCUUCAAAACUCCAUGAACAGCAUGAACAAAUGUGGUACACAGACACAUAUGCAAAAUGAACAUCCAUACACAUAAGAAUAUUAAAAUAAAUAAAAGUAUUUUAAAAUCUUCA